RNAcentral lists this ribosomal RNA (460 nucleotides) under uncultured bacterium. RNAcentral's name for it is "partial 16S ribosomal RNA". It matches the Rfam family "Bacterial small subunit ribosomal RNA", at positions 338 to 795 of the family's 1533-position model. The record is from RNAcentral.
CCUACGGGAGGCAGCAGUGAGGAAUAUUGGUCAAUGGACGAGAGUCUGAACCAGCCAAGUAGCGUGAAGGAUGACUGCCCUAUGGGUUGUAAACUUCUUUUAUAAAGGAAUAAAACGAGGCACGUGUGCCUUUUUGUAUGUACUUUAUGAAUAAGGAUCGGCUAACUCCGUGCCAGCAGCCGCGGUAAUACGGAGGAUCCGAGCGUUAUCCGGAUUUAUUGGGUUUAAAGGGAGCGUAGAUGGGUUGUUAAGUCAGUUGUGAAAGUUUGCGGCUCAACCGUAAAAUUGCAAUUGAUACUGGCAGUCUUGAGUACAGUUGAGGUAGGCGGAAUUCGUGGUGUAGCGGUGAAAUGCUUAGAUAUCACGAAGAACCCCGAUUGCGAAGGCAGCUUACUAACCUGUGACUGACAUUGAUGCUCGAAAGUGUGGGUAUCAAACAGGAUUAGAUACCCUAGUAGUC